GACGAACCGAGCGAACGUUGUUCGGAAUCACUGGGCUUAAAGGGCGCGUAGGCGGGUGCUCAAGUCUGUGGUGAAAUCCUCCAGCUUAACUGGAGAACUGCCAUGGACACUGGGUGUCUCGAGGAACGUAGGGGUAUGCGGAACGAUUGGUGGAGCGGUGAAAUGCGUUGAUAUCAAUCGGAACUCCGGUGGCGAAGGCGGCAUACUGGACGUUUUCUGACGCUGAGGCGCGAAAGCCAGGGGAGCAAACGGG
RNAcentral lists this ribosomal RNA (253 nucleotides) under uncultured bacterium. RNAcentral describes it as "partial 16S ribosomal RNA". It matches the Rfam family "Bacterial small subunit ribosomal RNA", at positions 524 to 776 of the family's 1533-position model. The record is from RNAcentral.